ACCUGUAUGGUGAUCAGCACCAGAGAGGAGAGACACCUGGUCCAACAAGGUGACGGACGAGCCGCCACAGGACCUGAAGCAGGAAAACUGAGGAUCCGUCUCCUGAUGAAACUCCUUCAGGUGCUGCAGGAAAACGGGACCUGAAAUCAAUCCAAAAGGCCUUUUAGUCAGGAUAGUGGAACAGCUCUGACCUGUGUGGUGAUCAGCACCGGAGAGGAGAGACACCUGGUCCAACAAGGUGACGGACGAGCCGCCACAGGACCUGAAGCAGGAAAACUGAGGAUCUGUCUCCUGAUGAAACUCCUUCAGGUGCUGCAGGAAAACGGGACCUGAAAUCAAUCCAAAAGGCCUUUUAGUCAGGAUAGUGGAACAGCUCUGACCUGUGUGGUGAUCAGCACCGGAGAGGAGAGACACCUGGUCCAACAAGGUGACGGACGAGCCGCCACAGGACCUGAAGCAGGAAAACUGAGGAUCUGUCUCCUGAUGAAACUCCUUCAGGUGCUGCAGGAAAACGGGACCUGAAAUCAAUCCAAAAGGCCUUUUAGUCAGGAUAGUGGAACAGCUCUGACCUGUGUGGUGAUCAGCACCGGAGAGGAGAGACACCUGGUCCAACAAGGUGACGGACGAGCCGCCACAGGACCUGAAGCAGGAAAACUGAGGAUCUGUCUCCUGAUGAAACUCCUUCAGGUGCUGCAGGUGUGUGUUGACUCUGGUUCCACCUGCUCAGACAGUCAGCACUGUUGUCUUUGCUGGUUAUUUACAUAAUAAAACCUUUUUUUUGAAUUACA
Molecule: long non-coding RNA, 788 nt
Organism: Acanthopagrus latus (yellowfin seabream)
Lineage: Eukaryota; Metazoa; Chordata; Actinopteri; Spariformes; Sparidae
Exons: 8
Source: RefSeq, a predicted model, not a curated record